GAAGGGACCUAGCGUAGUUCGGAAUUACUGGGCUUAAAGAGUUCGUAGGUGGUUGAAAAAGUUAGUGGUGAAAUCCCAGAGCUUAACUCUGGACCUGCCAUUAAAACUUUUCAGCUAGAGUAUGAUAGAGGAAAGCAGAAUUUCUAGUGUAGAGGUGAAAUUCGUAGAUAUUAGAAAGAAUACCAAUUGCGAAGGCAGCUUUCUGGAUCAUUACUGACACUGAGGAACGAAAGCAUGGGUAGCGAAGAGGAUUAGAUACCCUCGUAGUCCAUGCCGUAAACGAUGUGUGUUAGACGUUGGAAAUUUAUUUUCAGUGUCGCAGCGAAAGCGAUAAACACACCGCCUGGGGAGUACGACCGCAAGGUUAAAACUCAAAUGAAUUGACGGGGACCCGCACAAGUAGUGGAGCAUGUGGUUUAAUUCCAAGAUACCCGCAGAACCUUACCAACACUUGACAUGUU
Molecule: ribosomal RNA, 461 nt
Filed under: uncultured Alphaproteobacteria bacterium
Lineage: Bacteria; Pseudomonadati; Pseudomonadota; Alphaproteobacteria
Description: bacterial SSU rRNA
Rfam family: Bacterial small subunit ribosomal RNA
Source: RNAcentral